Molecule: ribosomal RNA, 215 nt
Filed under: uncultured bacterium
Lineage: Bacteria
Description: partial 16S ribosomal RNA
Rfam family: Bacterial small subunit ribosomal RNA
Source: RNAcentral
UACGUAGGGUGCAAGCGUUGUCCGGAAUUAUUGGGCGUAAAGAGCUCGUAGGCGGUCUGUCGCGUCGGCUGUGAAAACCCGAGGCUCAACCUCGGGCCUGCAGUCGAUACGGGCAAACUAGAGUACUGCAGGGGAGACUGGAAUUCCUGGUGUAGCGGUGAAAAUGCGCAGAUAUCAGGAGGAACACCCGGUGGCGAAGGCGACUAUCUGGUCUG